AAUUAGAGAGGCCAUUUGUACGGCAGCCGGCGAAGGGUAAACAUGAACGAUAUUCUUUGGAAAAUCUGCAUCUUUUUGUGCCGCGCUUGUUGUUGCCUCCGGUCUGCAGUGCUAUGUGUGUGACAACGCAAGGAGCGAGGUCUGUGGAACAACGGUCGACCCAGAGAGAAUUAAGCCCCAUGAGUGCAGUGGCGAAAACAUAAAAUGUGGAACACAAAUACAAGAUCCUGCAGAAGACGGUUGGGUUGGUGUGAUAAGAGCGUGUUACCCUCUAGGAUCCCUACCCAGAAUGAAUGAAACUAACGGAUGUCACCAGUGGACCAACGACAAUUUUACGGCCCGUUUCUGUUUUUGUGAAACUGAUGGAUGCAACAGUGAGAUAUAAAGGAAAUGAAAAGCUAAAAUAUUGCAUUAGCCUCAAAUCAGAGACUGAACGACGAUGUAACUUAAGAUAUAUGAAUAAAUAAUACUUGAAUAAUU
Haliotis rubra (blacklip abalone) is the source of this 480-nucleotide long non-coding RNA. RefSeq lists it as uncharacterized. Lineage: Eukaryota; Metazoa; Mollusca; Gastropoda; Lepetellida; Haliotidae. The transcript is spliced from 4 exons. The record is from RefSeq and is a predicted model, not a curated record.